CUCCUACGGGAGGCAGCAGUGGGGAAUAUUGGACAAUGGGCGAAAGCCUGAUCCAGCCAUGCCGCGUGUGUGAAGAAGGUCUUCGGAUUGUAAAGCACUUUAAGUUGGGAGGAAGGGCAGUUACCUAAUACGUGAUUGUUUUGACGUUACCGACAGAAUAAGCACCGGCUAACUCUGUGCCAGCAGCCGCGGUAAUACAGAGGGUGCAAGCGUUAAUCGGAAUUACUGGGCGUAAAGCGCGCGUAGGUGGUUUGUUAAGUUGGAUGUGAAAUCCCCGGGCUCAACCUGGGAACUGCAUUCAAAACUGACUGACUAGAGUAUGGUAGAGGGUGGUGGAAUUUCCUGUGUAGCGGUGAAAUGCGUAGAUAUAGGAAGGAACACCAGUGGCGAAGGCGACCACCUGGACUAAUACUGACACUGAGGUGCGAAAGCGUCGGGAGCAAACAGGAUUAGAUACCCUGGUAGUCCACGUCGUAAACGAUGUCAACUAGCCGUUGGAAGCCUUGAGCUUUUAGUGGCGCAGCUAACGCAUUAAGUUGACCGCCUGGGGAGUACGGCCGCAAGGUUAAAACUCAAAUGAAUUGACGGGGGCCCGCACAAGCGGUGGAGCAUGUGGUUUAAUUCGAAGCAACGCGAAGAACCUUACCAGGCCUUGACAUCCAAUGAACUUUCUAGAGAUAGAUUGGUGCCUUCGGGAACAUUGAGACAGGUGCUGCAUGGCUGUCGUCAGCUCGUGUCGUGAGAUGUUGGGUUAAGUCCCGUAACGAGCGCAACCCUUGUCCUUAGUUACCAGCACGUCAUGGUGGGCACUCUAAGGAGACUGCCGGUGACAAACCGGAGGAAGGUGGGGAUGACGUCAAGUCAUCAUGGCCCUUACGGCCUGGGCUACACACGUGCUACAAUGGUCGGUACAGAGGGUUGCCAAGCCGCGAGGUGGAGCUAAUCCCAUAAAACCGAUCGUAGUCCGGAUCGCAGUCUGCAACUCGACUGCGUGAAGUCGGAAUCGCUAGUAAUCGCGAAUCAGAAUGUCGCGGUGAAUACGUUCCCGGGCCUUGUACACACCGCCCGUCACACCAUGGGAGUGGGUUGCACCAGAAGUAGCUAGUCUAACCUUCGGGAGGACGGUUACCACGGUGUGAUUCAUGACUGGGGUGAAGUCGUAACAAGGUAGCCGUAGGGGAACCUGCGGCUGGAUCACCUCCUUAAUCGACGACA
This 1215-nucleotide ribosomal RNA is filed under the name Pseudomonas sp. ABAC21. Its description in RNAcentral is "bacterial SSU rRNA". It matches the Rfam family "Bacterial small subunit ribosomal RNA", at positions 336 to 1533 of the family's 1533-position model. The record is from RNAcentral. Lineage: Bacteria; Pseudomonadati; Pseudomonadota; Gammaproteobacteria; Pseudomonadales; Pseudomonadaceae.